GUGGGGAAUCUUGCGCAAUGCGCGAAAGCGUGACGCAGCAACGCCGCGUGGGGGAAGAAGGCCUUCGGGUCGUAAACCCCUUUCAGGAGGGACGAAGCCUCGGGAGUGAAUAGCUCUCCGGGGUGACGGUACCUCAAUAAGAAGCCCCGGCUAACUACGUGCCAGCAGCCGCGGUAAUACGUAGGGGGCUAGCGUUGUCCGGAAUCAUUGGGCGUAAAGCGCGCGUAGGCGGUCAGGUAAGUCCGGUGUGAAAGUCAAAGGCUCAACCUUUGAAUGCCGCUGGAUACUGCUUGACUUGAGUCCGGAAGGGGCGAGUGGAAUUCCUGGUGUAGCGGUGAAAUGCGCAGAUAUCAGGAGGAACACCAAUGGCGAAGGCAGCUCGCUGGAACGGUACUGACGCUGAGGCGCGAAAGCGUGGGGAGCAAACAGGAUUAGAAACCCUAGUAGUCC
Molecule: ribosomal RNA, 450 nt
Filed under: uncultured bacterium
Lineage: Bacteria
Description: bacterial SSU rRNA
Rfam family: Bacterial small subunit ribosomal RNA
Source: RNAcentral